RNAcentral lists this small RNA (409 nucleotides) under Pongo abelii (Sumatran orangutan). RNAcentral describes it as "processed transcript". Lineage: Eukaryota; Metazoa; Chordata; Mammalia; Primates; Hominidae. The record is from RNAcentral.
CCAGCAGCCAAGGUCUGUGAUGGGGGAAGGCCCAGGGCCACGGGACACUUCGGGGAGCCUGACUCAUGGGCUGGUGGCGUGGCCAGGAGCAUCCCCUCCUACCACUUCUCUUGUCCCUUAGGUGGUUCACAAAAUACACAGAAAUGGACUACGCCCGAGCUGGUAACAAAGCAGCUUUCACUGUGAGCCUGGAUCCAGGGCCCCUGGAGCAGUUCCCCCACUCCAUGGAGCCACAGCUCAGGCAGCUGGGCCUGCCCACCGCCCUCAAGAGAGGUGUGGUGACUCUGCUGUCUGACUACGAGGUAUGCAAGGAGGGCGAUGUGCUGACCCCAGAGCAGGCUCGCGUCCUGAAGCUUUUUGGGUAUGAGAUGGCUGAAUUCAAGGUGACCAUCAAAUACAUGUGGGAUUC